CAACGUGGGUAACCUGCCCAAGAGACUGGGAUAACACCUGGAAACAGAUGCUAAUACCGGAUAACAACACUAGACGCAUGUCUAGAGUUUAAAAGAUGGUUCUGCUAUCACUCUUGGAUGGACCUGCGGUGCAUUAGCUAGUUGGUAAGGUAACGGCUUACCAAGGGCAAUGAUGCAUAGCCGAGUUGAGAGACUGAUCGGCCACAUUGGGACUGAGACACGGCCCAAACUCCUACGGAAGGCAGCAG
This 248-nucleotide ribosomal RNA is filed under the name uncultured bacterium. RNAcentral describes it as "partial 16S ribosomal RNA". It matches the Rfam family "Bacterial small subunit ribosomal RNA", at positions 113 to 354 of the family's 1533-position model. The record is from RNAcentral.